GCUCAAAUUUAAAAUCUGGUGGCCCUUCCGCCAUCCGAGUUGUAAUUUAGAGAAGCGUCUUCCGCGCUGGACCAUGCAUAAGUCUCCUGGAAUGGAGCGUCAUAGAGGGUGAGAAUCCCGUCUUUGGCAUGGACCCCCAGGGCUUCUGCGAUGCGCUCUCGAAGAGUCGAGUUGUUUGGGAAUGCAGCUCAAAAUGGGUGGUGAACUCCAUCUAAAGCUAAAUAUUGGCGAGAGACCGAUAGCGAACAAGUACCGUGAGGGAAAGAUGAAAAGCACUUUGGAAAGAGAGUGAAACAGUACGUGAAAUUGUUGAAAGGGAAACGCUUGAAGUCAGUCGCGUCGACCGAGACUCAGCCUUGCCUCGGCUUGGCGUACUUCUCGGCUGAUGGGUCAGCAUCGAUUUCGACCCUUGGAUAAUGGUGGGGGAAAGGUGGCACCUUUACAGGUGUGUUAUAGUCCUUCAUCGGAUGUGGGGGUUGGGAUCGAGGAAUUCAGCAUGCACCUCUUGGUGUCGGGGCUUUGGCCCACGUCUACAUGCUUAGGAUGCUGGCAUAAUGGCUUUAAACGACCCGUCUUGAAACACGGACCAAGGAGUCUAACAUACCCGCGAGUGUUCGGGUGGAAAACCCGUGCGCGCAAUGAAAGUAAAAGUUGGGACCUCUGUCGUGGAGGGCACCGACGCCCGGACCAGACCUUCUGUGACGGCUCUGCGGUAGAGCGUGUAUGUUGGGACCCGAAAGAUGGUGAACUAUGCCUGAAUAGGGUGAAGCCAGAGGAAACUCUGGUGGAGGCUCGUAGCGAUUCUGACGUGCAAAUCGAUCGUCAAAUUUGGGUAUAGGGGCGAAAGACUAAUCGAA
This 857-nucleotide ribosomal RNA is filed under the name Russula sp. RNAcentral's name for it is "partial large subunit ribosomal RNA". It matches the Rfam family "Eukaryotic large subunit ribosomal RNA", at positions 107 to 939 of the family's 3401-position model. The record is from RNAcentral. Lineage: Eukaryota; Fungi; Basidiomycota; Agaricomycetes; Russulales; Russulaceae.